UGGGCCGUGUUAUGUGUGUGGGCUCUGUGUUCUCUCAUAUAAUCAAGCUCAAGAGUUACUGACCUAUGCCUCGGUUUCAUCGUGUUCUUUCUUCUCUGCCGCCCAAAAGCUUGAGAUGUUGUAGUCGGCGUGACGAUUACUUUUGUAGGGUUUCGAUUGCAUCCUUUGAACUCCUUUUCCAUCAAUUGAAAUUAAAUCACUUACAGAUUCAUCGCACUAAACAUCUUCUUAACUCCUUUAGCCACGAUCUAUACUUUAAUGUGAAGUUAUCUUCUGCGAGGCGGUGAUCUACAGGUAUAAAAAGUUGGGUAGAUGUUCCUCCACCGCUGAGGUUAGGUUACGGUUGUGGGACAGGAAUGUCAAGCAAAAUCUGGAACCGAGAAAGAUGAAGAAUUGAGACUUAUAAGAUCGUUCGUAAAACAAAAUCGCAGUAAGCCUUCUUUUUAGAUCUUGCAUUUGUUCUUCAUUGAUAUAUUUUCUCACAAUUGGCCAAUUCUUUUUUGAACUUCUAAUAUAAAACAAACGCGGAGUACGUAAGUGGCAUGUGACUAGAGAGAGAGAUGGAAGGCGACGGAGCAAGCGGCGGAGAGAAACGAAGAAAGCGGCGGAGAACGAUGGAGUAAGCGGUGGAGAACAACGCAGCAAAGGCGCAUAACAAUGAACAAGCGGCGUUGAGAUGGAGCAAGUGACGGAAAGAGUGAGAUGGAAGCCAUGGAACAAGUGAAAGAGAGUGUGACGAGAGAUAGAUAAGGCAAUUGCUGCAAUUCAACCAGGCACGAGGGAUUUUGAUAGGCUCUCGGACAGGAUACUCAUGAUAAGAAGAUGACACCUAUUGAAGAUAUCAAAUCUCUAAACAUGAAAACAUAACCACGGGGAUGAUUGAAGAUCCGUUUGUUGAUACUGAAAAGAGCUGCAUACUGCAUUGGAUGACGCUAGGAAAAGGCUUCGUGUAAUAGAAGGCUGAAGCUUCUUUGUGGAAAGACACCGCUUUUAUAGUCUCUGAACAUUUUGUCUUCUCUGAUAGAACUGUUAGUGUGAAACGAAUUACAAGGAGUGUCCUUAUGAGCUGGACAGACGGCUACACGAGCUCACGGAGACAAGACAUAAAAGAGCUGAAGACUGCAUUGGAAGAAGCUAAGAACAGGCUUCAUGUGACAGGUUGAAGCUUCUUGGUGGAAAGACACUGCGUAUAUAGUCUCUGAACAUAUACCAGAACUGUUUAGAAUCAACUUCAACUAAUCGUCAUUAUCCUCUCUUUAGGACCAAGGCGAAAUGUGUUUCUGCCUAUUCACAAAAGGAAUCUAAGUUAGCUCUCUCGACCUGCCGCAUCGCUUGUGUAGAUGUAGUACAUGACUGUGAUGAAAACGAAGCAUGAUGAGUUCAACUUCCUUAACUCACCAUAAAAUAAGAACAGUGACUUGCAUAAAACCAUAUGACUCCAAAAUUUCUAACCUGCUAUCGAACUCCUAGAAUGAGAACAAAAUUUAGCAAACACUUAUCCCCCACAAGAGUAUACUGGAGUAUAUAUGUCAGCAAAACUGGCCUACCAACAGAGUUUAACAUAUGUAAAUCUUAGUUUCCACAAAAAUCAUUACCAUUGUAGAGAUUCAAGCAAAAGCUUCAACCACCAAGCCA
Molecule: long non-coding RNA, 1635 nt
Organism: Brassica napus (rape)
Lineage: Eukaryota; Viridiplantae; Streptophyta; Magnoliopsida; Brassicales; Brassicaceae
Exons: 5
Source: RefSeq, a predicted model, not a curated record